GCGUUUUCAUAGACAAAUUGCAUCAGAGACAGCACAACUUAGGAACUGCUCCAGGGGGAUGAAGUGUCUCUGGGUAGCUCUGAGCAGGAGAGCUGUGGGACCCCAGGAACAGGAGCUAAACAGGAGACCAACAGGGGUUAAAGGCCUGCAUAGAGAUGCAGCAGAGCCUCGGGGUCUGCUGCAGGAGUGUAGUGUGUCAGAGGGGCUGAGCCGCUCACAGAGCAGACUGAAACCUCAGCUGUACUAUCAUUCACUCUUCCUCCUCUCACAGUCAUGUGAACUUCCACCCCCAGUCUGAAUUGCAGAUACUUUUGAUUAUUCAGCUCAGGUGUCCUUGCAGAGUAAUGAGGUCUUUCUCCCCUGUGAUUUCCAGCUGCCAUCACUCUCGGCAACCCAAACAAACCCAACUGAUUGCACUUAUUUAUAGACCUGAAUGCUGAUGCUGGUCUCUCCUGGGACUAGCUCUCAUCUCUCAGGAUGGAGCAGAUUUCAGGUCAGCUCAUUUCUUAGCCUUCUUUCACUUCCUCUUGGCCCUGGUGCUGCUGCCAGCCCUUUUCCUACAGGAUGUUCCACUGCUUUUCCUGUCUCGGGACACUGGCAGUAUGGAAGUUGUUGCAGGGCUCAUCCUCGCUGGAAAGACUUGCAGAACUUGUGGGACUGUAACUGCUGGCUUCCUCUUGAAGGAGGAGCGGCCCCUUCAAAACUGAGCUGUGUUCCCUGAGCUGUGCCCUGCUGCCAAGCCAGCCCCACACUGCUGCCUCUGCCUGGUAGGUGCCAGAGGUCUGUUCUGCAGCUGAGGGGAGAGGGAGGAUCACUCUGUGGGUCACUGGGGUUGGGGUGCCAAAACGUGUGGGAUGACCUGGCCACAUGGAAAGGUGUAAUGGUUGCGCUGCCGACACUGCACCUCUGGCUUCUGGGGGAUGGGAGCUCAGGUCUGGUUACUCCUUCUGUGUCGAGAGCAUUUCUUGCAAAGCCAGGGAAGCUUUGUUGGUAUUCCCCUUUGGGGAGGAGCUGUGGUUGGGCAGUGUGUCUUCUGUGAGUGCAGAGCUGGAGGAUGCAGACACAGCCCAUCCUACCUGGAGAAUGCAGCCCUUGGGACAGCGAUUCAGUAACGAAGAUAAUUAGGAAUUAAUAAUACUAAGUGGUGUCCAUACCCUACUUAAUGCUGGGAUGCAUGUGUUUUCCCUGGCUCCUGCAGGCACAUGCAGGCAUGCUACAGAUGUUACUGGCUGUAGCAAGAUU
This 1242-nucleotide long non-coding RNA is filed under the name Phasianus colchicus (ring-necked pheasant). RNAcentral describes it as "lncRNA (ENSPCLG00000008263.1)". Lineage: Eukaryota; Metazoa; Chordata; Aves; Galliformes; Phasianidae. The record is from RNAcentral.